ACUCCUACGGGAGGCAGCAGUAGGGAAUCUUCCACAAUGGGCGCAAGCCUGAUGGAGCAACACCGCGUGAGUGAAGAAGGGUUUCGGCUCGUAAAGCUCUGUUGUUAAAGAAGAACACGUAUGAGAGUAACUGUUCAUGCGUUGACGGUAUUUAACCAGAAGUCACGGCUAACUACGUGCCAGCAGCCGCGGUAAUACGUAGGUGGCAAGCGUUAUCCGGAUUUAUUGGGACGUAAAGAGAGUGCAGGCGGUUUUCUAAGUCUGAUGUGAAAGCCUUCGGCUUAACCGGAGAAGUGCAUCGGAAACUGGAUAACUUGAGUGCAGAAGAGGGUAGUGGAACUCCAUGUGUAGCGGUGGAAUGCGUAGAUAUAUGGAAGAACACCAGUGGCGAAGCGGCUACCUGGUCUGCAACUGACGCUGAGACUCGAAAGCAUGGGUAGCGAACAGGAUUAGAUACCCUGGUAGGAUAGCG
Molecule: ribosomal RNA, 472 nt
Filed under: uncultured bacterium
Lineage: Bacteria
Description: bacterial SSU rRNA
Rfam family: Bacterial small subunit ribosomal RNA
Source: RNAcentral